Molecule: long non-coding RNA, 2090 nt
Filed under: Homo sapiens (human)
Lineage: Eukaryota; Metazoa; Chordata; Mammalia; Primates; Hominidae
Description: long independently transcribed non-coding RNA 1998, transcript variant 4 (LINC01998)
Rfam family: Small nucleolar RNA U13 (bases 1753-1857)
Source: RNAcentral
GGCGCCCACCACCACGCCCGGCUAAUGGUCUCGAUCUCCUGACCUCGUGAUCCGCCCGCCUCGGCCUCCCAAAGUGCUGGGAUUACAGGCGUGUACAAAUGCAUUUAAUCCUCACAGCCACCCUGAAAGGACUUUGGUAUAGAUAAGCUAUCACUGGUUAUUAAGAAGUUCCAUGUUCAAUUUGCAAUCCACUUCUGGCAAGAUCUCAAACAUUUUGUGGGCCAUUACAAAGCUCAUGUCCCCUAUGUCUGUGGGGCCUAAUGAUUCAAACAGCCGUGACCAGGCCUGCCUGUGUGGCCCAGCCUGGCUGGCAUUCAAGUGAAUAACAUCAUCUCCAUCUCACUGCACAGAAGUAUGAACUGCGGUGUCAGCAGGUUUCCAUGACACCACCGGUGAUGUAGAGCACACAUCUCUCCCACACUCUGCUGGUUACCAGGCCCUGGCAGUACAGACCAGGCCUCCUGGGUUGCCUUCCUCCUUCCGGCUCACAGGUUCCUCUUCACUCCCAUGCUCUGCUCCCCAGACCUCUGGCCCAGAAGGAGUGACCCAGAGCCUGAGGCAGGAGAAAUUUUGAGGCGGAGACUGGAGCUGAGGAUGAGGCCCAGGCCCGGCUAGAGAGAAAACACUGAGAAGGGACUGAGGCCCCCACAUGCUGGAAUCUUGUGAAAAGAGGUGAAGGCAAAGCUGGGGAUGAGAGAGAGAAGACGGAGCAGGAGAUUAGCAAGGAAAUAAGGUGGGGAAACAGCUGGGAAGACAGACAUGCAUCUGGAAGAUUCCAGAAAAGGCCAUUUCAUCCAGCCCUGCUCCAGCAGUUUGUAUUUCAGCAGCCUCACGGGACACCUGGCCUUUCCUUUCUGACAUCGUUCUCCAUCCAUCCAGCACCUCUUGGAGAUCACAAGGGGCUCUCCACAUGAGACUUUUGAAACUAAGAAAUAGAUUUGGGUGUUGCACGUGUUUGCUCUGGAGCCACAUUGCUUGGGCUCAAAUCCCAGAUCCAUGGCUUCAUCACCUAUGAACCUUGGGCACAUUUCCCCACAUGCCUGUGCCUCAGUUUCCUCAGCUGUGAAAUGGAGUGAUAAUAGUUCCUACUUUUACUGAGUCAUUGUGACGUUUUCUGUGAAAGGCCUAACAUAUGAAAAGCACUCCAUAAAUGUUUAGCUAUUAUUAUUUCAAGGAAUUGUAAAAACAGGAUCACAAAAUUGUGGAAUAUCAUUAAUGUUUACAUUUAACAAAUUAUACCCUUUAAUUCAGAAAAUGCAAUGGCAUAUAACUGUGGUAUUUACAGGUAAUAUAGAAGUUAAGGUUUUUUCUAUAUAAUUAACUUAUAGCACCCUAGAGGUAGGAUGGUUCAGUCAUGGGACGUGAGUUUAGAGCUGAAUGAGAAGUAUCUGUGUUAUGACUGUAUUUAUAACCUCAUUUGGAAGCAACGUUAAAAGCCUAAAUUUGAGAUCCUUUGUAAAUGUUUGUCUCCAAGCCAAAUGCUUUUUCCUGGUCCCCUUCCUGACUCAUGCUCCCACCCCCGUUCAUAUCUUAAAAUGAUUAGGGCAGAAAAGGGUGGGGGAGUUGGAAUAGACUCUACUUCCUGCCUCUCUGAUUUUACAAUUAGAUUAACAGGGCAUAAGGCCUUUACCUCUACAACUGGAUGAUUUAUAGUUUUAUAUAUAUUACACACACACACACACACACACACACACACACACAGAGAAAGAGAGAGAGACAGAGAGAGAUAUUCAGCCUAAUAUGUCAGUAUAGAUCCUUUUGCAAUUCAUGAGCAUGAUGAUGUGGUAUCACACUUACGUGUGAGAUGUGCCUCCCUCAAACCUUCUUCCUACAGGUUGGCACUUUGCCCACCUGACAUGAAAAAAGAAGUCAAUGUAGAAGGAGAGGUAAUACAAGGCUAAAACUCACUUGUCCUGUAAACAACUGAAGACAAGCCAGUCUUUGAGAUGAAAGCCUGCAGGUGCUAGCCAAAAGAGAAGGGUGGGGAGGACAGGUAAACUUUCCCUACCUUACAAUUUGGUUUUUACUCACAUAUGCCCAAUAGAAGCUGUGUGUAAUGCAAGCAAUAAAAUGAAUGACUUUCUACCAAA